This 371-nucleotide unclassified non-coding RNA is filed under the name soil metagenome. Its description in RNAcentral is "partial contains 5.8S ribosomal RNA, internal transcribed spacer 2, and large subunit ribosomal RNA". The stretch from base 1 to 118 matches the Rfam family "5.8S ribosomal RNA", at positions 35 to 154 of the family's 154-position model. The record is from RNAcentral.
GAUGAAGAACGUAGCGAAGUGCGAUAAGCAAUGCGAAUUGCAGAACCGUGAGUCAUCAGAUUUUUGAACGCAACUGGCGCCGAUUGGAUCUCCAGCCGGCAUGCUUGUUUCAGUGUCUCUUUUUCUCAUCACCCAAAUCUUAAUGCGAGAGAUACCCUUCUCUUGUCAAGUACGAAAGCACUCUGAGCCCUGCGAGUGGCUUGGCUUCGGUCAAGGCCACACUCAAUGCAGCAGUCACAUUUCACAAUGUGAACUCAUUGAGAGUAGAGUCAGCGCAGUUUACUGCUAGUGCUUAGAGCCUUUAAACUCUUCUUGUAUCUGAAAUCAAGCAGGACCACCCGCUGAACUUAAGCAUAUCAAUAAGCGGAGGA